GUUUGAUCAUGGCUCAGAUUGAACGCUGGCGGCAGGCCUAACACAUGCAAGUCGAACGGAACCUUCGGGUUUAGUGGCGAACGGGUGAGUAAUGCCUAGGAAUCUGCCUAUUAGUGGGGGAUAACGAAUCGAAAGGUUCGCUAAUACCGCAUACGUCCUACGGGAGAAAGAGGGGGAGUCUUCGGACCUCUUGCUAAUAGAUGAGCCUAGGUCGGAUUAGCUAGUUGGUGAGGUAAAGGCUCACCAAGGCGACGAUCUGUAGCUGGUCUGAGAGGAUGGCCAGCCACACUGGAACUGAGACACGGUCCAGACUCCUACGGGAGGCAGCAGUGGGGAAUAUUGGACAAUGGGCGCAAGCCUGAUCCAGCCAUGCCGCGUGUGUGAGAAGGCCCUCGGGUUGUAAAGCACUUUAGCGAGGA
Molecule: ribosomal RNA, 419 nt
Filed under: uncultured bacterium
Lineage: Bacteria
Description: bacterial SSU rRNA
Rfam family: Bacterial small subunit ribosomal RNA
Source: RNAcentral